CACACGUGUAUUCCUUUUUCUAAAUUCUUUAGGCAUAUUACUACUCCACAGCUUAUUUUCUUUUUUUCUAUUUUCAGUUUAAACCAAUUAUGAUAUCUGUUAUACAUACUCUCACACAAUCUCUAUUGGACGGUCAAAGUACUUAACUCUGGAAUCAUUCACAAUUUUACAAGGAUAAGUAUUGCUCAAGCUGUAUUAGCAUCUACUUAUUUCUCUCAAUUAUUGAUACGCUGCCUACAGAAUCUCAAUAGCAUUACAGUAAUUUCAAUCUCAAACAUCUCACUCAAGAAGAAAACUGGGAUUUGCUACUAUUCCUUCCUACUAG
RNAcentral lists this small RNA (325 nucleotides) under Arabidopsis thaliana (thale cress). Its description in RNAcentral is "putative long intergenic non-coding RNA". Lineage: Eukaryota; Viridiplantae; Streptophyta; Magnoliopsida; Brassicales; Brassicaceae. The record is from RNAcentral.